CCCUUAACCUUCUAAAUCAUCGACCCAUAACCUAUAACCCUUCUAAAGACGCAAUGUGAUUUAUUCUCAUUGGUUUGCAUGUCAAAGUGAAGAAAUGCAACCAAGCGUGGGUAAGCGACGGGAGUAACUAUGACUAUCUUAAGGUAGUCAGAUGCCUUGUCAUCUAAUUAGUGACAUGCAUGAAUAGAUUAUUAACGUGAUUCCCCACUAUCCCUAGCUACUAUAUUCUAGAGAAACCACAUCCAAGGGAAUGGGCUUAGCAGAAUUAGCGAGGAAAGAAGACCUUCAUAUUGAGCUAGACCCUAGUCCUAACCCAUUAAUAGUUUGGGAAAAUUAGGGCAUAGU
Molecule: non-coding RNA, 345 nt
Organism: Picea glauca (white spruce)
Lineage: Eukaryota; Viridiplantae; Streptophyta; Pinopsida; Pinales; Pinaceae
Source: Rfam